Long non-coding RNA from Glossina fuscipes, 487 nucleotides. RefSeq lists it as uncharacterized. The transcript has 3 exons. The record is from RefSeq and is a predicted model, not a curated record. Lineage: Eukaryota; Metazoa; Arthropoda; Insecta; Diptera; Glossinidae.
GCCUGCUGGCAUCCAUUGCACCUCGCAACAUUGUUUACAAGAUCCGUAAUAAACAGUUCACAACCUAAACCUCUGCAGUGGAAACGAAGAAAAGGAAACAGAAGAAACUUCUUUCGAUACAUCCGUUAACUUUUCUAUACGAAGAUUACCAUUGCGGGAAAUCAAUAAGCAUGAAUGCACCUUACGCUCUCGGGCAUAUGCAUACUGUUUAUUUACGGAUGAAAUUCAUCUGGCAUACAAAAGACAAUGUAUAAAUAAACAAGUGGGUAAAAAAAGGGUAAAAGAAGAAAAAACAACAUUCACGUAUGUAGGACAGAGGCACAAUCGCGGCUGGUAUAGAUACGAAAUACCAACGGGCCGUUCGACAACGACGCAAAUAUCCAAAAGCUCGGCACUCCGUAACAACGUACGCAUCAUAAAAGUGGGACAAACCGUGUUCGAUAGUUAGAUAGAAAAGUGCAGCGACCUGAUUCGCUAUCGCAUGCUC